Long non-coding RNA from Notolabrus celidotus (New Zealand spotty), 228 nucleotides. RefSeq lists it as uncharacterized. The record is from RefSeq and is a predicted model, not a curated record. NCBI's taxonomy places the organism in Eukaryota, Metazoa, Chordata, Actinopteri, Labriformes, Labridae. The transcript is spliced from 2 exons.
GUAUUCAUUUUCAGCAAAGACAAGACGUCUUAGAUGUCCACCUGAACUGCUGCACAAGCAUUCAAUGUAAACCCACAUUUAAAAAAAGAACGUGGAAGAGAAGUCCAGAGACAGAAGGAAAGGAGACAGCAUGCAGUUCCCCCCACCCCCCAAUCUGCACCAGAUCAUGCAUUAUGCUUCUGCUUUUGCAGUCAUAUGAAAUAAAUGGUUACACACUGUUCAUUUAAA